This 236-nucleotide long non-coding RNA is filed under the name Polistes fuscatus (common paper wasp). RNAcentral describes it as "uncharacterized LOC122515739". Lineage: Eukaryota; Metazoa; Arthropoda; Insecta; Hymenoptera; Vespidae. The record is from RNAcentral.
AAGAAGAAGAAGAAGGAAACUCAACAGUCGACGGUAUCCCACAAAAACAAUAUAAGACACAUCCGAUACAUCACAGUUCACCAGAGAGAUUCAUGCCAAUUCCCUCCUCUUAGGUCCACGUUUAUGUUAGAUCUCAACUUAAGAUUAUAUCUCUCAAGGGACACGUUGGCUAUUGGUUUGCGUGAAACUUGAUGUAUAAAGGAAAUUUGAGAAAACGAAUAAACGUAUAUUUAUCA